This 304-nucleotide ribosomal RNA is filed under the name uncultured bacterium. RNAcentral's name for it is "partial 16S ribosomal RNA". It matches the Rfam family "Bacterial small subunit ribosomal RNA", at positions 506 to 807 of the family's 1533-position model. The record is from RNAcentral.
CAGCAGUAGCCGCGGUAAUACAGAGGGUGCGAGCGUUAAUCGGAUUUACUGGGCGUAAAGCGUGCGUAGGCGGCUUUUUAAGUCGGAUGUGAAAUCCCUGAGCUUAACUUAGGAAUUGCAUUCGAUACUGGGAAGCUAGAGUAUGGGAGAGGAUGGUAGAAUUCCAGGUGUAGCGGUGAAAUGCGUAGAGAUCUGGAGGAAUACCGAUGGCGAAGGCAGCCAUCUGGCCUAAUACUGACGCUGAGGUACGAAAGCAUGGGGAGCAAACAGGAUUAGAUACCCGUGUAGUCCCUGUCUCUUAUAC